RNAcentral lists this ribosomal RNA (226 nucleotides) under Enterococcus sp. Its description in RNAcentral is "partial 16S ribosomal RNA". It matches the Rfam family "Bacterial small subunit ribosomal RNA", at positions 559 to 784 of the family's 1533-position model. Lineage: Bacteria; Bacillati; Bacillota; Bacilli; Lactobacillales; Enterococcaceae. The record is from RNAcentral.
CGUAAGCGCAGCGCAGGCGGUUUCUUAAGUCUGAUGUGAAAGCCCCCGGCUCAACCGGGGAGGGUCAUUGGAAACUGGGAGACUUGAGUGCAGAAGAGGAGAGUGGAAUUCCAUGUGUAGCGGUGAAAUGCGUAGAUAUAUGGAGGAACACCAGUGGCGAAGGCGGCUCUCUGGUCUGUAACUGACGCUGAGGCUCGAAAGCGUGGGGAGCGAACAGGAUUAGAUA